Molecule: ribosomal RNA, 998 nt
Filed under: uncultured Piscirickettsiaceae bacterium
Lineage: Bacteria; Pseudomonadati; Pseudomonadota; Gammaproteobacteria; Thiotrichales; Piscirickettsiaceae
Description: bacterial SSU rRNA
Rfam family: Bacterial small subunit ribosomal RNA
Source: RNAcentral
AGAGUUUGAUCAUGGCUCAGAUUGAACGCUGGCGGCAUGCCUAACACAUGCAAGUCGAACGGAAACGAUGCUAGCUUGCUAGCAGGCGUCGAGUGGCGGACGGGUGAGUAAUAUAUAGGGAUCUGCCUAAUAGUGGGGGACAACGUGUGGAAACGCACGCUAAUACCGCAUACGCUCUACGGAGGAAAGUGGGGGAUCUUCGGACCUCAUGCUAUUAGAUGAACCUAUAUCGGAUUAGCUUGUUGGUGAGGUAAUGGCUCACCAGGGCGACGAUCCGUAGCUGGUUCGAGAGAAUGAUCAGCCACACUGGGACUGAGACACGGCCCAGACUCCUACGGGAGGCAGCAGUGGGGAAUAUUGCACAAUGGACGAAAGUCUGAUGCAGCAAUGCCGCGUGUGUGAAGAAGGCCUUCGGGUUGUAAAGCACUUUCAGAUGUGAGGAAAAGCAGUCUAUUAAUACUAGAUUGCCGUGACGUUAACAUCAGAAGAAGGACCGGCUAACUCCGUGCCAGCAGCCGCGGUAAUACGGAGGGUCCAAGCGUUAAUCGGAAUUACUGGGCGUAAAGCGCGCGUAGGCGGAUAAUUAAGUCAGAUGUGAAAUCCCUGGGCUCAACCUAGGAACUGCAUUUGAUACUGGUUAUCUAGAGUAUGGUAGAGGUGAGUGGAAUUUCAGGUGUAGCGGUGAAAUGCGUAGAGAUCUGAAGGAACAUCAGUGGCGAAGGCGACUCACUGGGCCAUUACUGACGCUGAGGUGCGAAAGCGUGGGUAGCAAACAGGAUUAGAUACCCUGUAGUCCACGCCCUAAACGAUGUCAACUAGGUGUGUGAGAGUCUAACUCUUGCGUAUCGAAGCUAACGCGAUAAGUUGACCGCCUGGGGAGUACGGUCGCAAGACUAAACUCAAAUGAAAUUGACGGGGGCCCGCACAGCGUUGAGCAUGUGGUUUAUUUCGAUGCAACGCGAAGAACCUUACCUGGCCUUGACAUGUACGGAGGUUUU